GCAUCGGACUUACGGUCGUGCAUGUUAAUCGUAGUAAAAUUGUAAAUACACUUUGAAAUUAAAAGACGGGUACGCAGGGGGAUAUCGAGGGUGCUUUUUGAUCGUGGGUGGUUAUGGGGUGUGAGUCAGAGUUGCCGCCGCGAAGUUGGUGGGGGUGUUACCUGAAAGAAGAGCAACAGGCGAUAAGCAACCCCGUGGAUUGUCAUUCGCACCCGAGAACCCGUAGGACACAACGCAGUGUCUACAUUUGAUCUCCAGUGAUCUUGAGGGGGAAACAAAGAAAAAGGCUACAUCAGAAGAUGGGUCGGAAUACGUGCGUGAUCGUUCUUCUUGCCGUUUGUGCUCUAUGGACAUUUGGAGAGACGCUUUCCUGCGACCAAUGUGGCCGGGAGUGCGUCAACAGUUGCGGAACGCGACAAUUCAGGGCUUGCUGCUUCAAUAAUCUGAAGAAAAGGGUGCCGGAUGUUGGAUUAAAGCUCUGGGUAGGCCCACCCAGACACACGAGUCAUCUACAUCUUGUUUAUGACGCAUAAAUGAAAGCUUUUUUAUUUAUGCUCUGACCUGGAAUAGUCUUGGGUCAAGUCGUCACAACGAAAGCACGACCUAAAGUUAUUAUUUCUUUGAUUAAUUAUCAGUCUUAUGCGAUUUGUCCAUGUAAUGUUUGAUAAAUGUUCGACGUAACAAUGCUCCGACUAAUAAUUAAGGCACUCAUGAUUCCGUAUAUUAAAACGCCUACAUUUAUUUGCAUGAACCAGCCACGAACGAAAAAAAUUUACCUGUUGUUACAAAAGGCAGAAUAAAAAAAAAAUGUAAUAAUCAAAUAUUGCCCUGUUAAUCUUCGUGCGAUUACUGAGGAAUUCUAUUGGGAUAAUUCAAUCCGUGCUUUGCCGCAAAGAUCGAAAUUAUGUUGCUAAUGGCCAAGUGGCGUACAUAUCAUUUGCUAGAAUCUCUUGAUCAUCGAUAAGCAUGCAAUAAAGUUAACGAUGGUGCAAAUUCAUGCGACUUAAGGAAUUUUUUUACUCAAAAAAAUAGCAAACAACUGUUACGGAUUCCUUGUGUCUGCGGUCCAAAUUGCGGCAUUUCUCGGUAUUCGAAUUAGUUAUAGAUAUUGACGAAUUUUGAAAUGAUCGAUGAAACCGAAAUUAUA
RNAcentral lists this unclassified non-coding RNA (1147 nucleotides) under Athalia rosae (coleseed sawfly). RNAcentral's name for it is "misc RNA ENSAEAG00005003508.1". Lineage: Eukaryota; Metazoa; Arthropoda; Insecta; Hymenoptera; Athaliidae. The record is from RNAcentral.